AAGUUACGCAGCGGGAGUCAAUUUUCACCUCCGAGGACAACUCCAUGUUAUAUGCGACAGUAGAAAGAAUGGGUGGUAGAUUUGCGAGGUACCGGUAUUCGAGUCCCGAAAACUGGUGAAUUCACUAGUUCUGUACUAGUACUUUCCGCUGCAGGGGCAACUUAUCGGAAUUAGUAAUGUAUCGGAAAUAAUAAUGUCUCGUCUUUUAAUAGUUGUACCUCUAUGUACAUAUGUAUACAUAUUUAUUUGUACCCUGUGGGGAAACGCAGCAGUGCCGUACUGGUUGGUCUUGCGACUACCCUACUCCGUCGCCCAAACAUUGAAAUCACCUAACACAAUUAUUGGGUGUCUGUCGAUUGCAGUUUCCACUACAUUGUCCUGGAGCUUUUGGAAUUCCUAGUGAGUCCAGCUAGGCAGGGUUGCCAACUUCUGCAUUCUCGAAACCGGGACACAGAAUGUUAUGAAAGGAACAACAAAACAAUAUAAUAUUUCAUAGAUACAUGGAAAUUUUC
Molecule: long non-coding RNA, 512 nt
Organism: Rhagoletis pomonella (apple maggot)
Lineage: Eukaryota; Metazoa; Arthropoda; Insecta; Diptera; Tephritidae
Exons: 3
Source: RefSeq, a predicted model, not a curated record